UUCUUAAACAGAAGAUGGCAGAACCUGAAGACCUCUUCUGCCAGAAGGCAGCAGAAAAAAAAAAAAACAAGGGCUGUGGAGGAUUAGUAGCACCUGUGAUCACAUCAAGCCUAUGGAAAUAAUGGAGGCCAUGCUUGCCUAGCUGACUACCAGCCACACAUCCCAGCUUGCUGAGUGGCAGCCCACAGAUCCUGCCAAGAGAAAAGAUCCCAUUUCUCCUCCUCUCCUCAGUGCAGCGUUCAUCCCCAGCUCACUGAAAAGCAUCCUGUUGCACCUCAGUGUGGAAAUCAUCUUUGGUUGGUUCAGGUUUCACCUGCAUCAAGUUUUUUACUGGGAAGCAGCAAGUCUCAAGAUCCAGCUCCAAUGUCACUUGUCACUUGCUCAUUAUUCUGACAUCAUCUGUAAUACACGGUUUUGUGCAGGGGCAAAUGCAACCCUGACCUGAAUGAAAGGCUGAGCAUCUGUGCAACCAGAACACAUGACAUCCAGAAGCAUUUUCCAUGCCAGUCAGUGCUAAUGGAGUGAGGAAAUGAAGGAA
This 538-nucleotide long non-coding RNA is filed under the name Anas platyrhynchos platyrhynchos (common mallard). Its description in RNAcentral is "lncRNA (ENSAPLG00000022080.1)". The record is from RNAcentral. Lineage: Eukaryota; Metazoa; Chordata; Aves; Anseriformes; Anatidae.